Molecule: ribosomal RNA, 272 nt
Filed under: uncultured bacterium
Lineage: Bacteria
Description: partial 16S ribosomal RNA
Rfam family: Bacterial small subunit ribosomal RNA
Source: RNAcentral
UACGUAGGGUGCGAGCGUUAAUCGGAAUUACUGGGCGUAAAGCGUGCGCAGGCGGUUAUAUAAGACAGAUGUGAAAUCCCCCGGGCUCAACCUGGGAACUGCAUUUGUGACUGUAUAGCUAGAGUACGGCAGAGGGGGAUGGAAUUCCGCGUGUAGCAGUGAAAUGCGUAGAUAUGCGGAGGAACACCGAUGGCGAAGGCAAUCCCCUGGGCCUGUACUGACGCUCAUGCACGAAAGCGUGGGGAGCAAACAGGAUUAGAUACCCGCGUAGU